This 253-nucleotide ribosomal RNA is filed under the name uncultured bacterium. RNAcentral describes it as "partial 16S ribosomal RNA". It matches the Rfam family "Bacterial small subunit ribosomal RNA", at positions 524 to 776 of the family's 1533-position model. The record is from RNAcentral.
GACGAAGGGGGCUAGCGUUGUUCGGAAUUACUGGGCGUAAAGAGCGCGCAGGCGGUCGUUCAAGUCGCGUGUGAAAGCCCCCGGCUCAACUGGGGAGGGUCACGCGAUACUGAUCGACUCGAAGGCAGGAGAGGGAAGUGGAAUUCCCGGUGUAGUGGUGAAAUGCGUAGAUAUCGGGAGGAACACCAGUGGCGAAGGCGACUUCCUGGCCUGUUCUUGACGCUGAGGCGCGAAAGCUAGGGGAGCAAACGGG